AUGGCCACCGCCGUCGCAUUUGCCCACCUUCUACUUUUCCUCGUCUUGGUGUCCCCAGUGGCCUGCUACUCUGCUAGUCCCUCGCACCGCUGCGACUGGUGCCCUCGGUGGUCCACCGCCUCCCUCCUGCCUCCCGAUGCCACCAUCACCGGAGCCGCGUGCGGGUACGGUGGCCCGGCAGCGGCAGCUGAGCUUGCUGACGGGAGCUUCCACAUUGCGGCCGUCAACACCGGCUUUUUCCGCCAAGGCCAGGCCUGCGGCGCCUGCUACCAGCUGAGGUGCAGGGGCCGGAGCGCGUGCGCGAAGGACGAUGUCAAGGUCGUCGUCGUCGCCGACGUGCCGGAGACGAACAGCACAGGCGGGGGCGAGCGGUUCAUGCUUACCAAGGACGCCUUCGCCGCCUUGACUACUACUGGUGCCGAUGGUCAGCCGGCCGUCGACGUCGACUUCAGGAGGAUACCUUGCGCUUAUAAAAGCAAAAACCUUGCAGUGAGGGUGGAGGAGACGAGCAGCAGGGACAAGGGCCACCUCGCCGUCAGGUUCCUCUACCAGGGCGGCCAGACCGACAUCGUCGCCGUCGAGGUGGCGCGGGCGGAAAUUCCUGGUGCCACUGCCACGACCCAGAGUACCGCCGCGCCGUCGCUGACCACAUGGCAGUACAUGACGCAGCGCGAGGGGUCGCCGGGCGUGUGGCGCACGUCCCGCACGCCGGCCGGCCCGUUGAGGCUCCGGCUCGUCGUGACCGCCGGCUCCGGCGGCAAGUGGCUUCGAGCCGAAGGUGUAGUGCUCCCCGCGGAGUGGCAGGCCGGCGCGGUCUACGACACUGGACUGCGCGUCACCGACGUCGCCGCAAGCACCUGCGGCGGCGCCUCCUGCUCCGCCUCCGGAGACGGCGAGGAGGAGUAG
This 906-nucleotide ribosomal RNA is filed under the name Triticum aestivum (bread wheat). RNAcentral describes it as "partial small subunit ribosomal RNA". The record is from RNAcentral. Lineage: Eukaryota; Viridiplantae; Streptophyta; Magnoliopsida; Poales; Poaceae.